This 539-nucleotide ribosomal RNA is filed under the name Bifidobacterium bifidum. Its description in RNAcentral is "bacterial SSU rRNA". It matches the Rfam family "Bacterial small subunit ribosomal RNA", at positions 160 to 710 of the family's 1533-position model. The record is from RNAcentral. Lineage: Bacteria; Bacillati; Actinomycetota; Actinomycetes; Bifidobacteriales; Bifidobacteriaceae.
GUGGUAAUGCCGGAUGUUCCACAUGAUCGCAUGUGAUUGUGGGAAAGAUUCUAUCGGCGUGGGAUGGGGUCGCGUCCUAUCAGCUUGUUGGUGAGGUAACGGCUCACCAAGGCUUCGACGGGUAGCCGGCCUGAGAGGGCGACCGGCCACAUUGGGACUGAGAUACGGCCCAGACUCCUACGGGAGGCAGCAGUGGGGAAUAUUGCACAAUGGGCGCAAGCCUGAUGCAGCGACGCCGCGUGAGGGAUGGAGGCCUUCGGGUUGUAAACCUCUUUUGUUUGGGAGCAAGCCUUCGGGUGAGUGUACCUUUCGAAUAAGCGCCGGCUAACUACGUGCCAGCAGCCGCGGUAAUACGUAGGGCGCAAGCGUUAUCCGGAUUUAUUGGGCGUAAAGGGCUCGUAGGCGGCUCGUCGCGUCCGGUGUGAAAGUCCAUCGCUUAACGGUGGAUCUGCGCCGGGUACGGGCGGGCUGGAGUGCGGUAGGGGAGACUGGAAUUCCCGGUGUAACGGUGGAAUGUGUAGAUAUCGGGAAAGAACACC